GUCUGUGNGAACGAGCGCGCGNGACGGGUGAGUAACACGUGGGCAACCUGCCUGUAAGACUGGGAUAACUCCGGGAAACCGGGGCUAAUACCGGAUAACUCAACGAACCGCAUGGUUCGGUGUUAAAAGAUGGCUUCUGCUAUCACUUACAGAUGGGCCCGCGGCGCAUUAGCUAGUUGGUGAGGUAACGGCUCACCAAGGCAACGAUGCGUAGCCGACCUGAGAGGGUGAUCGGCCACACUGGGACUGAGACACGGCCCAGACUCCUACGGGAGGCAGCAGUAGGGAAUCAUCCGCAAUGGACGAAAGUCUGACGGUGCAACGCCGCGUGAGUGAUGAAGGUCUUCGGAUCGUAAAACUCUGUUGUUAGGGAAGAACACGUGCUGUUCGAAUAGGGCAGUGCCUUGACGGUACCUAACCAGAAAGCCACGGCUAACUACGUGCCAGCAGCCGCGGUAAUACGUAGGUGGCAAGCGUUGUCCGGAAUUAUUGGGCGUAAAGCGCGCGCAGGCGGUUUCUUAAGUCUGAUGUGAAAGCCCACAGCUCAACUGUGGAGGGUCAUUGGAAACUGGGGAACUUGAGUACAGAAGAGGAGAGCGGAAUUCCACGUGUAGCGGUGAAAUGCGUAGAUAUGUGGAGGAACACCAGUGGCGAAGGCGGCUCUCUGGUCUGUGACUGACGCUGAGGCGCGAAAGCAUGGGUAGCGAACAGGAUUAGAUACCCUGGUAGUCCAUGCCGUAAACGAUGAGUGCUAGGUGUUAGGGGGUCCAACCCUUAGUGCUGCAGUUAACGCAAUAAGCACUCCGCCUGGGGAGUACGGCCGCAAGGCUGAAACUCAAAGGAAUUGACGGGGGCCCGCACAAGCGGUGGAGCAUGUGGUUUAAUUCGACGCAACGCGAAGAACCUUACCAGGUCUUGACAUCUUCGGACCGCCCUAGAGAUAGGGUCUUCCCUUCGGGGACCGAAUGACAGGUGGUGCAUGGUUGUCGUCAGCUCGUGUCGUGAGAUGUUGGGUUAAGUCCCGCAACGAGCGCAACCCUUAACCUUAGUUGCCAGCAUUCAGUUGGGCACUCUAAGGUGACUGCCGGUGACAAACCGGAGGAAGGUGGGGAUGACGUCAAAUCAUCAUGCCCCUUAUGACCUGGGCUACACACGUGC
This 1158-nucleotide ribosomal RNA is filed under the name Alkalibacillus filiformis. Its description in RNAcentral is "bacterial SSU rRNA". It matches the Rfam family "Bacterial small subunit ribosomal RNA", at positions 79 to 1225 of the family's 1533-position model. Lineage: Bacteria; Bacillati; Bacillota; Bacilli; Caryophanales; Bacillaceae. The record is from RNAcentral.